AUUGAACGCUGGCGGCAGGCCUAACACAUGCGAGUCGAGCGGAUGAAGGGAGCUUGCUCCUGGAUUCAGCGGCGGACGGGUUAGUAAUGCCUAGGAAUCUGCCUGGUAGUGGGGGAUAACGUCCGGAAACGGGCGCUAAUACCGCAUACGUCCUGAGGGAGAAAGUGGGGAUCUUCGGACCUCACGCUAUCAGAUGAGCCUAGGUCGGAUUAGCUAGUUGGUGGGGUAAAGGCCUACCAAGGCGACGAUCCGUAACUGGUCUGAGAGGAUGAUCAGUCACACUGGAACUGAGACACGGUCCAGACUCCUACGGGAGGCAGCAGUGGGGAAUAUUGGACAAUGGGCGAAAGCCUGAUCCAGCCAUGCCGCGUGUGUGAAGAAGGUCUUCGGAUUGUAAAGCACUUUAAGUUGGGAGGAAGGGCAGUAAGUUAAUACCUUGCUGUUUUGACGUUACCAACAGAAUAAGCACCGGCUAACUUCGUG
RNAcentral lists this ribosomal RNA (483 nucleotides) under uncultured bacterium. RNAcentral describes it as "partial 16S ribosomal RNA". It matches the Rfam family "Bacterial small subunit ribosomal RNA", at positions 30 to 507 of the family's 1533-position model. The record is from RNAcentral.